ACUUUCAGUGCCUUGAGUGUCAAGCUUUGGAUGACUGACCCUACGUGGGCGGUUGUGCAGGGAGUGGGUACUUGUGAGCCUCGGACACACUGUUAAGUGUUACAGUGUUAGGAGAGAGAUGGGUGAGAGGACCUGGAGAGGUAAGGGGCCUGGAAAUGGCCCUGGCAGAGAACUUGUGCUGACUGGGAGAAGGUGGCGCGGAAGGGCACCACAGGCAUUCCACGGGCCAUUUCUCCUCCUCCAUGUGCACGCACAUCCAACACACACCUUCCAUGUGACCGCUUCUCAGCCACCACCUUCUGACCAAAGAGAACAGGCGCUCCGAGGAGAACCUGUACCCCUGCCCCAGCCUCGCCUUCCUAAGAAGCAGUGUCUGGAGGUGGCUAUUUCCCGCCUCCCCAGCUGCAUGUCCAGCCCAAUGGGAGACAGGGCCUCUGGUGCAGUUCCCAAAAUGUUCCUCGCCCUUUCUCCAUGGUCACCAUUCAUAAUUCAUGUUCGCUUUAAUGAGUUACAUGUUCAUCAGCCACAGGCCAUUACCACCCUUACGGAUGGGUCUGGGGGGCGACAUUCCUGGCCAACGCCUUGCUAGGAAGGACCAGAUAAUACCCAGGAAGCAAGUAGCUCUAAUUUUAACCUCGCAGGAAGUCUCUGCAUCCUCCUUCAUUUCAGCAGGGAAAACUCCUGUGGAGUGGGCCCUACCUGGGGCAUUUACAGGCUUCCAGCUGUAUUCCAUCCCUGGAAGCUGACACCUUUCUACAGAAUCCUUUUAUGAGAGCUCAGUGGGAAGGUCUGUCAAGAAAUUCAGGUUCUUGUACAGACAAAUUCAUGCAAAUUUCUAUUAUUUUCA
RNA transcript from Nomascus leucogenys (northern white-cheeked gibbon), 847 nucleotides. RefSeq lists it as uncharacterized. The record is from RefSeq and is a predicted model, not a curated record. The transcript has a single exon. Lineage: Eukaryota; Metazoa; Chordata; Mammalia; Primates; Hylobatidae.